AGGUUGGGUUUGAUGGUGAGCCUGUGCUGUCAAGAAAAACCUCGGCGUGAGGGAUAUGACCGCCCGUACCCUAAACCGACACAGGUAGUCAGGUAGAGUAUACCGAGGCGACGAGAGAAUCAUGGUUAAGGAACUCGGCAAAAUGCCCCCGUAACUUCGGAAGAAGGGGGACCCUAUGCGGUGAUCCACCUUUGCGGUGGUGAGCGGUGUGGGGUCGCAGAGAAUAGGGAGAAGCGACUGUUUAUCAAAAACAUAGGUGUGUGCGAAGCCGUAAGGCGAUGUAUACGCACUGACGCCUGCCCGGUGCUGGAAGGUUAAGAGGAACGCUUAGUCACAUUCGUGUGGCGAAGGUGUGAAUUGAAGCCCCAGUAAACGGCGGUGGUAACUAUAACCAUCCUAAGGUAGCGAAAUUCCUUGUCGGGUAAGUUCCGACCUGCACGAAUGGCGUAACGACUUCUCCACUGUCUCAACCAUGAACUCGGUGAAAUUGCACUACGAGUAAAGAUGCUCGUUACGCGCAGAAGGACGGAAAGACCCCGGGACCUUUACUAUAGCUUGGUAUUGGUGUUCGCUGGUGUUUGUGUAGGAUAGGUGGGAGACUGUGAAGCGGCCACGCUAGUGGUGGUGGAGUCAUUGGUGAAAUACCACUCUGAUAUUAGUGUGCAUCUAACCUUGAAUCCUGAUCGGGUUUGGGGACAGUGCCUGGUGGGUAGUUUAACUGGGGCGGUUGCCUCCUAAAUGGUAACGGAGGCGCUCAAAGGUUCCCUCAGCCUGGUUGGUAACCAGGUGUCGAGUGUAAGUGUAAAAGGGAGCUUGACUGUGAGACUGACAAGUCGAGCAGGUGCGAAAGCAGGAACUAGUGAUCCGGCAUUGGCUUGUGGAAGCGGUGUCGCUCAACGGAUAAAAGGUACCCCGGGGAUAACAGGCUGAUCUUGCCCAAGAGUCCAUAUCGACGGCAUGGUUUGGCACCUCGAUGUCGGCUCGUCGCAUCCUGGGGCUGGAGUUGGUCCCAAGGGUUGGGCUGUUCGCCCAUUAAAGCGGUACGCGAGCUGGGUUCAGAACGUCGUGAGACAGUUCGGUCCCUAUCCUCUGCGCGCGCAGGAAACUUGAGGAGACUCGCCCCUAGUACGAGAGGACCGGGGUGAACGAACCUCUGGUGUGCCAGUUGUUCCGCCAGGAGCAGGGCUGGUUGGCUACGUUCGGAUUGGAUAACCGCUGAAAGCAUCUAAGCGGGAAGCCAUCUCCAAGACCAGGUUUCCAUCAACAUUAUGUUGUGAAGGCCCCCAGAAGAAGACUGGGUUGAUAGGCCAGACGUACAAGCGUAGUAAUGCGCUCAGCGGACUGGUACUAAUCGGCCAACACU
Molecule: ribosomal RNA, 1363 nt
Filed under: metagenome
Description: bacterial LSU rRNA
Rfam family: Bacterial large subunit ribosomal RNA
Source: RNAcentral